RNAcentral lists this ribosomal RNA (506 nucleotides) under uncultured bacterium. RNAcentral's name for it is "partial 16S ribosomal RNA". It matches the Rfam family "Bacterial small subunit ribosomal RNA", at positions 29 to 523 of the family's 1533-position model. The record is from RNAcentral.
AGUGAACGCUGGCGGUAGGCCUAACACAUGCAAGUCGAACGGCAGCACAGGAGAGCUUGCUCUCUGGGUGGCGAGUGGCGGACGGGUGAGGAAUACAUCGGAAUCUACCUUUUCGUGGGGGAUAACGUAGGGAAACUUACGCUAAUACCGCAUACGACCUACGGGUAAAAGCAGGGGAUCUUCGGACCUUGCGUGAUUGAAUGAGCCGAUGUCGGAUUAGCUAGUUGGCGGGGUAAAGGCCCACCAAGGCGACGAUCCGUAGCUGGUCUGAGAGGAUGAUCAGCCACACUGGAACUGAGACACGGUCCAGACUCCUACGGGAGGCAGCAGUGGGGAAUAUUGGACAAUGGGCGCAAGCCUGAUCCAGCCAUACCGCGUGGGUGAAGAAGGCCUUCGGGUUGUAAAGCCCUUUUGUUGGGAAAGAAAUCCAGCUGGUUAAUACCCGGUUGGGAUGACGGUACCCAAAGAAUAAGCACCGGCUAACUUCGUGCCAGCAGCCGCCGUAA